RNAcentral lists this long non-coding RNA (1060 nucleotides) under Gallus gallus (chicken). The record is from RNAcentral. Lineage: Eukaryota; Metazoa; Chordata; Aves; Galliformes; Phasianidae.
AAGAACGUGGGGGGUAGGGGGAAGAUGAUCGCCUUGCAGGCGGAGAAGCUGUCCUUUGAUAGGAGGGAGAAGGAGUUCUUUUGCGGUGUGGGGAAGGAGAAUGUCUUUGAACAGAGGAACCUGACUGUGAUGAAGAAGAGUGAUGUCUAGAGGAUAUGGGAGAAUGACGUUGGCCAGAUGGAGAAGCAGACCUGCGAGAGGGUGAGAAGUUAUGCUUGUGAGUUGUUGAUUUCACUGGGGCUCGUGAGACUUGUCGUCGCCUUGCAGCAGGUGGUGAAUACUCCCUGGAAGGGGAGGAAUUACUGCCAGAAUGAUCUGCAGGACUGGGAGAACGCUUCUGUCUAUGGGAACCUUCAGAAGGAUCUCUCUGCUUCUCUUUUUUCUCUUUGUGCCUUUCAAAGUCACGCCCCCUCUCUUUCACAUCCCUUGUCUUUUCAUCUAAACGUUCUUUGCCUUUAUGCUUUUCUUUGUGUUUUUUUCCUAAGGGAGUUUCCUCUUGUACCGGAGGAGGAGGACUUGGGGUACGAGGCCCUUUCUUUUUACUCUGGUUACUUUUAGAACUCCUCUGCUGAUCCAAAAGUGGGGAAGAUACAGUAGAUGCUUUCUUCUCUUUCUUACUAGCCGAAGAGGAAGACUUCGGACUAGACCUUCGUUUUGGAGACUUGCUAGACUUUCUUGGUGAUGGCGACGGUGACAAUUUAGACCUAACCACCUCUGGAGAAAUCUCCUUUUUAAUGACAAUCUCCUCUCGUUUCUCCAUGUUUUCCUGUUCCAACUUCAUGAGUUCUCUCUGAAUCUUUUGGCGCUUCAUUUCCAAAGACAGCUCAUGAUCAUAAUCAUAGUUAACAUCUCCAUUAUCAGAGUCUUCUCUAUUUGUUUCCCAAUCUCCAUUUUCCUCUUCACUUUCUGGUGUUCUCUCCUUUGUAAUUUUGAUAUCUUCCUUUUCUCUAUGUCUCCCUCGUGAAGACUCUUUCCUAACAGGAGAGGACGAUUCCUCUGUACUUCGUUUCUGUGGUUCAGCCUCAACAUCUUGACGUUUGUUCUUCAUUCUUUCCCGGAG